GUUGAAAUGUUUCCACUAGGAGUUAUAUCUCUGAUUCAAAAGAUGAUAAAGGGUAACCGAUGAAUGUACAUAGAACUAAAUGAAAAAAAUUCGAUGACCUCAUUUAAUCGCUGGUAACUUCCCUUUUCUGUGAAAAUUUCCAGCGUGUGUCUUUAACAUUUUAUAGACAGUUUAAAAUGUUGGUUCCAGCUGAAGCACACC
Molecule: long non-coding RNA, 201 nt
Filed under: Mytilus galloprovincialis (Mediterranean mussel)
Lineage: Eukaryota; Metazoa; Mollusca; Bivalvia; Mytilida; Mytilidae
Source: RNAcentral